GUCGAGAAUCUUUCACAAUGGGGUCAACCCUGAUGGAGCGACGCCGCGUGGAGGAUAAGGUCUUCGGAUUGUAAACUCCUGUCAUGCGUGAACAAGGUUGCUUGGUUAAUACCUGGGCAAAUUGAUGGUAACGCAAGAGGAAGAGACGGCUAACUCUGUGCCAGCAGCCGCGGUAAUACAGAGGUCUCAAGCGUUGUUCGGAAUCACUGGGCGUAAAGGGUGCGUAGGUGGCGUGGUAAGUCAGAUGUGAAAGCCCGGGGCUCAACCUCGGAACUGCAUCCGAUACUGCCAUGCUAGAGUACUGGAGAGGUGACUAGAAUUCUCGGUGUAGCAGUGAAAUGCGUAGAUAUCGAGAGGAAUACCAAAGGCGUAGGCAGGUCACUGGACAGUUACUGACACUGAGGCACGAAGGCCAGGGGAGCGAACGGGAUUAGAUACCCCGGUAGUCC
Molecule: ribosomal RNA, 449 nt
Filed under: uncultured bacterium
Lineage: Bacteria
Description: partial 16S ribosomal RNA
Rfam family: Bacterial small subunit ribosomal RNA
Source: RNAcentral